Molecule: regulatory RNA element, 200 nt
Rfam family: Gammacoronavirus 5'UTR
Source: Rfam
ACUUAAGAUAGAUAUUAAUAUAUAUCUAUUACACUAGCCUUGCGCUAGAUUUUUAACUUAACAAAACGGACUUAAAUACCUACAGCUGGUCCUCAUAGGUGUUCCAUUGCAGUGCACUUUAGUGCCCUGGAUGGCACCUGGCCACCUGUCAGGUUUUUGUUAUUAAAAUCUUAUUGUUGCUGGUAUCACUGCUUGUUUUG